This 465-nucleotide ribosomal RNA is filed under the name Vreelandella stevensii. RNAcentral's name for it is "partial 16S ribosomal RNA". It matches the Rfam family "Bacterial small subunit ribosomal RNA", at positions 338 to 795 of the family's 1533-position model. The record is from RNAcentral. Lineage: Bacteria; Pseudomonadati; Pseudomonadota; Gammaproteobacteria; Oceanospirillales; Halomonadaceae.
CCUACGGGAGGCUGCAGUGGGGAAUAUUGGACAAUGGGGGGAACCCUGAUCCAGCCAUGCCGCGUGUUUGAAGAAGGCCCUCGGGUUGUAAAGCACUUUCAGUGAGGAAGAACGCCUGGUGGUUAAUACCCAUCAGGAAAGACAUCACUCACAGAAGAAGCACCGGCUAACUCCGUGCCAGCAGCCGCGGUAAUACGGAGGGUGCGAGCGUUAAUCGGAAUUACUGGGCGUAAAGCGCGCGUAGGUGGCUUGAUAAGCCGGUUGUGAAAGCCCCGGGCUCAACCUGGGAACGGCAUCCGGAACUGUCAAGCUAGAGUGCAGGAGAGGAAGGUAGAAUUCCCGGUGUAGCGGUGAAAUGCGUAGAGAUUGGGAGGAAUACCAGUGGCGAAGGCGGCCUUCUGGACUGACACUGACACUGAGGUGCGAAAGCGUGGGUAGCAAACAGGAUUAGAUACCCCGGUAGUC